This 303-nucleotide ribosomal RNA is filed under the name uncultured bacterium. RNAcentral's name for it is "bacterial SSU rRNA". It matches the Rfam family "Bacterial small subunit ribosomal RNA", at positions 355 to 675 of the family's 1533-position model. The record is from RNAcentral.
UGGGGAAUAUUGCACAAUGGGGGAAACCCUGAUGCAGCGACGCCGCGUGAGUAAAGAAGUAUUUCGGUAUGUAAAGCUCUAUCAGCAGGGAAGAAAAUGACGGUACCUGACUAAGAAGCCCCGGCUAACUACGUGCCAGCAGCCGCGGUAAUACGUAGGGGGCAAGCGUUAUCCGGAUUUACUGGGUGUAAAGGGAGCGUAGACGGCAGCGCAAGUCUGAAGUGAAAUCCCAUGGCUUAACCAUGGAACUGCUUUGGAAACUGUGCAGCUGGAGUGCAGGAGAGGUAAGCGGAAUUCCUAGUG